UAGGAAACUGCUCAGAGAACUCAUGCAAGUGGAACCUACAGCUUCCUUGAUCUGGCUCAGCAUUCAGAUAUCAAAGCAGACUGCAACACCUGCGCGGAAAUAGAAGACAGAAAGGUUUCCCGACAGCAGAUGAAUUGUGAAAGAGAGCAGCUAAGGGUAGGUGCAUCCGCCUGCAAAUGCUUCCUGCUUCGCGUCUGUGAGAUAAGCAAAAAUUUCCUUGUCUCUCCCAAGGCACCGGGUUCUAAAUAGCGGGCUUCGUCUUAAGACUGGUAGAGUUGAAAAUAUUUAUCCCAGCUAAUUUGCUAUUGAUUGAGCUGGUAAAUACAGUAUAUCUUCUUUUGAAGUGCCAUUAUAGUAAGUAUGGAUUUUUUGAUUUAGAUUCAGCAAUAAAUACUU
Miniopterus natalensis is the source of this 396-nucleotide long non-coding RNA. RefSeq lists it as uncharacterized. Lineage: Eukaryota; Metazoa; Chordata; Mammalia; Chiroptera; Miniopteridae. The record is from RefSeq and is a predicted model, not a curated record.